CCACCACCCACGACCAGAGGAGUGAUGAUGUGUGGCAGGGUUCUGGGGAGUCCGAUCGACUUACUAAUAACAUUCGACUGCAAAAAAUUCAAGGAUGUAGACUCCGCCCAAAAUGCUUAAGAAAAAAAAGUCUACAGAGGUGAUCGCCAUCCAAGAGAAGCAGAAAAAGAGCAAGAAGGAAGGAAGGCAAGAGGUUGGUUACCAAUUGGACUCUUAGAGUAAAAAGAGUGGAAUCCUAACCCCAGACACUUAAUGGUCAUGUGAUCCUCUUGACAACUCGUGAUACCUCAGAGCCUUAGUUCUCUCCUCUGUAAAAUAGGAAUAAUCAUGCAACAAACUUGCGCAUGCUUAUCACAGGAUUGUGGAGAGGCCUCACUCCUAAACUUGUUCUUCACUCUCACUAUGGCUACCCAACCUUCCAUCUCUACUUGUUCACCAAAAUGAUGAUGAUGGUGGUGAUGGUAAUGGUGAUAAAUGACAUCUCAUCUGAAUACAACAGCAACCCCUUUGAGGCUCUCUGGACUUUCCUCUAAGCUGCCCUUGAGCCAAGAACUCCUUUCUUAUGGUCUCAAAGGUGAAUCCUCUACAAUGCCUUCACUCUCAGUCUUUACAUAUCUGAGGAAAAAGCCUUGAUCCUGCGAAGCAAUGGAAUUAGAGCAGAGAGAGUACUGGCUCUGCCAUCAAAUCCUUCAAAUACUGGUUCUGACCCAUCUACCUAAGUUACCAUAAAAGAGGGAACCCCUUUGCCUCUUAGGCAUUGUUAUGGGGUAGGACACAGGGUCUGAAGUAACUUUCUUGAGAACAUAGACAUGCCUUGAAGAGAUAAGCCUAUAAGGCAUGGCUGCUGUCCGAGUGGCACCAGGGAGAUAGAGAUGUCUGGGAACUGCCUCUCACCCAACUUCUCCAUGUCCCACACCAGUGGGGGAUGUUUCCCCAAUAAAGGAACUUUCCACAGUCGGAUGAUCACUUGCAUCUGUCCCUCCACCAUUCUCCUCUAUAAAAGCUAUGCCCCUUCUCCUAUUCAGGAA
Dromiciops gliroides (monito del monte) is the source of this 1028-nucleotide long non-coding RNA. RefSeq lists it as uncharacterized. The transcript has 3 exons. The record is from RefSeq and is a predicted model, not a curated record. Lineage: Eukaryota; Metazoa; Chordata; Mammalia; Microbiotheria; Microbiotheriidae.